AUUGAACGCUGGCGGCAUGCCUUACACAUGCAAGUCGAACGGUAACAGGUUAAGCUGACGAGUGGCGAACGGGUGAGUAAUGCAUCGGAACGUGCCCGAUCGUGGGGAUAACACUUCGAAAGAAGUGCUAAUACCGCAUACGAUCUGAGGAUGAAAGCGGGGGACCGUAAGGCCUCGCGCGAUCGGAGCGGCCGAUGUCAGAUUAGGUAGUUGGUGGGGUAAAGGCUCACCAAGCCGACGAUCUGUAGCUGGUCUGAGAGGACGACCAGCCACACUGGGACUGAGACACGGCCCAGACUCCUACGGGAGGCAGCAGUGGGGAAUUUUGGACAAUGGGCGCAAGCCUGAUCCAGCAAUGCCGCGUGCAGGAAGAAGGCCUUCGGGUUGUAAACUGCUUUUGUACGGAGCGAAAAGGCUCCCUCUAAUACAGGGGGCUCAUGACGGUACCGUAAGAAUAAGCACCGGCUAACUACGUGCCAGCAGCCGCGGUAA
RNAcentral lists this ribosomal RNA (492 nucleotides) under uncultured bacterium. RNAcentral's name for it is "partial 16S ribosomal RNA". It matches the Rfam family "Bacterial small subunit ribosomal RNA", at positions 30 to 523 of the family's 1533-position model. The record is from RNAcentral.